UUAAUAAAAAUAUAUCAACGAAAAGUUACACUAGAAGACAACCUUCUAAACUAAAACUAUAAAAUAAUAAUAAAAUAAAAAUAAUUAUUUUUGUUUACAGCUAUAGUCGAUAGAGAUACAUCAAAAAUCUUACAAUAAUAAGUCUACAUGUACAGCUCAACCAAUCCUCCACUCAAUUCGAUAAAAUGUAUAAAACCGAAAAUAACAUAUCUUUGAUAUGUUAACACCAU
Molecule: long non-coding RNA, 230 nt
Filed under: Arabidopsis lyrata
Lineage: Eukaryota; Viridiplantae; Streptophyta; Magnoliopsida; Brassicales; Brassicaceae
Description: long non-coding RNA (ALYR_LNC000240)
Source: RNAcentral